AUAUGGCCUUGAGUGCUUCCAGGGAUGGGGCAUCCACUGUUACUCUGGGCAGCCCGUGCCUCAGCACUAAUUGAAAGGCAGAGCCUUGGUGAAUGUGUUUAUGGCAGAGGCAGAGGCCUGAGGCUCACAGGGCAGUCAUGGCAGAGCCUGAGAAACAAAGUUUUGGUGGUUGGCAGUGUGCUUGGAAAAGAAAAAUACAUUCAGAGUGAAAAGCCGAUUAUUUAUUUAGAGGUCUUUAUUUAAGCAUUUCAGUACAGCCUUAUCUGUCCCACUGUAGAUUUGAGUCACAAAUUUGAAGACAAACGAAUGUUUAAAAAGAAAGAAAAAAACUUCAGUAAAAUGAAGUAGUAGAUUAAUUAUGGUCACUGAUUACACCAAAAAUAAACAUUAAACAUCAGGAAUUAUAGACUGUCCUAAGGCAAAGUAUGCAGUGAAUGUACACAAUUGCACUUCAGUCUGUAAAAGUUAUGACACACUCCGCUGCCCAAGCACUUAACAUGCUGGGCAAAGGGGAAUCCCCAUUAGUACCUCUGCAUUAAGAGCAGGAGAACAGCAGCUUCAGAACUAGGAAACUGCAGGGGAGUGCUCUGCCAUAUGCUCAGCUUAUUGGGUAAGUGACCAAUGGACCUAGAAGUUCCUACGUGAUUCUAUUCCACAUAAAUUAAUAUUAAACCAGAGUAACUGGUAUCUGUUUUGUGCUACUGCUUUAGCUAGAAAUUCUGUGCCUUUGAAAACAGCACAUUGUGUGUUGAGACAGAAAUGCUGAUCCAGUAUCUGAUUCCUCCAUCAGCAGAAAUCUUGCAGUGAGCCCCAGAUCUUCAGAAUUUUCAUUUCCCCAAAUUGGUAAAAAGUGGUAAUAAUGCCAAUUUCUCACUCCGCCCUUACUCUCAACCACAAACUCUGCUCCACAAUUCUUCACCAACCCCGAGCUUUUCAAACCAAAAGGGGUUUUGGUUUGAAAGUAGCCACUAGUCAGAGGAUGCCGCAUUAAAGCUGUUCCAGCCCCUUCCUCCUGCAGCACCUCUACCAUGAGAAACAGCACUGGUCCAGAAGGAGUGUCCAGGUAAGGAAAUACUUUUAAUAAGCUGUUUCCAUUUGCCUUGGCAUGGCUUUACUCCUUCGACUUCAUACUUCACACAGGGAAUGCUGGUGCCAUACACCUACACUCAUGGCUCACUCUGCCAGUGUCAGUGCCAAAACAGCCCCAUGACUGAAAUGCAAUUCCUGUGACUUGUCCUAAUGCUUCUUCAUUAAGAAGUAUCAAAUGAUGGAAAAACCAAUCACACAGGAAAGUGCAGGUUUUUCCUGGUGACUUGGAGAAAAACAAGGCUUGGUACAGAUAAAUCUAAAGGGAGAUUACUACAUAUGCAAGAAAAGGCGAGGCUGUUGUUCGGGAAGAGAAAGAUUUUGGUAACAGAGGGUCUGCACCAAACGAUGUUUCUGAUGUACUCAAAGUCUGGCAGUGCACAGCAUGAAGGCAGAAAUUCAUACAAACCAGUGAAAGCGACACUUAGCAAUAGAAAGAGGAAUGGGCAGACUAAUGGGCCACUUGGCAAAGCAAUCUGCCUUCAUUAGUAGCUUGUUUACUUCAGAAACAGAUGCAGAAAACUGUAGGGAACAGCCAGGGAAUAAGAAAUGUGUCUUUGUAGUCUCCCGUCUUAUUGCUUUUUAGAAAAACCAGCUCGUAUCUGUUAGAUGAAUGUGCUAAUUUAUUUGUGACAUUUAUUAGUAGCCAUACAAAGUACCUGCAGGUUUUCACCUACUGGUAAGCUUUCACCAGAACACAUUGAAGUUGGUUCUGCAGGCAGACUGCUCUCAUGCCGAUCUCUUUCUUCCCAUCCCAUUUCAGUCUAUAGUCCAGUGUCAGUAGAUGCACGCCCCUUUGCUGCAGCACAUAAUUCUGAAAUGAGCCCUGCUUUGAGCAGUAGGCUGGAUGGAUGACAUCACCAUGUCCUUUCCAACCACAGCUUUUCUGUGAUUGUUUAAAAGCAGUAAUAGGAACUGCCAAUGUAUCUUUACCUAACUGCCUUCUAUUUUGCAAAGCUUUGUCUUAUCCCUUCCUUUCUAAAAUAUAUGUGCAUCUAUAGGUGGAUCCUUCCUCUGAGAGGACAGUCAGUCUGCUGGAGGAAAUAGAAGCACUCAACCGCUUCCAUUCUCUAUGAAAUUAGGCUACCAUAGCAUCAUAGAAUGGCUCAGAUUGGAAAGGGGCCUCAAAGAUUACCAAGUUCUAACCUCCCUGUCACAGGCAGGGUUACCACGUGUGAGAUCAAGUUGCCCAGGGCUCCAUCCAACUUGGCCUUGAACUGGAUAGGGAUAACACAAAAAAUAUGCUCCCAAACUCCCUCGAGUAUAAAGAUGACUUCUUUUUACAUACUGAUCAGUGCUCAGAAGAUACUCCAUCAGCCCAGGCCAUUCCUCAGAGCACCUGCAGGUGCUAUUCAUUACCACCCUGCAUUUGAUACCACGUAUUCAGGUUGGCGAGUACCCAGCACAGCUCAAAAAAAUCAACGUAUACUUGUUAUAAACACCUCAGGGGAGGCCUGAUAUCUUGUCUGGCUAGCUGGAUGGAUGGCCAAACAGGAAUGAGCAGCAUUUGGCACCAAGCAGUGUUGAUGAGACAUGUCCAAAUCCUGGCUCUGCUGCUCAUGUUUGUCUGACACUUGAAACCAAAGCUGACUGUAGCCCUUCUUUGGCCCAGAAUAAGGCUGUGGUGUGGUUAACCCUUAGCUAGGACCACUUGCUAUUUCAGCAGGAGUCAGCUGUGCAGUGCAAACAGGUCAUAAUGGCAUUGCUGGAACAGCUCACUGAGUCUCUGUCAGGUGCUGCCUCUCUGCAAGUGCUCAGGAGAGGAUGCUUUCUGCUGCUUUUGCUACAAACAGGUUGUGCAGGGUGCAAAUUGCAGGUUAUCAAUUAAAAGUGCCUUUUGCCUCCAGUAAGCAAGGCAGAGACCAAGACUGAAAACUUUGAUCUCAAGUGAAGAUAGAAUUGGGGAAAUCUGGAGAAGAAAGAAGGUAUUAUAACUGUAAACCAGUGAUGGAUGUGCUCAUUGGCAACAGCGCCAAACACAAUAGAGAUUUACAAAUAUUGAGUCACAACCUCUUUAUACUCAUAAACUGAAUAUGCACAUUAUGUGCACCAUAUAAAUACACCAAGUGAUGGGACACAACCAAGGUACUGUCUAUACUUAGAGCAUUAAUGCUGUCAGUACAAUGCUGUGACCUGCAGGGUGUUCCCAAGCCUGUAGCCAGAAGAACACAUGGAAAUGACUGUGCUGUAACCAUGGGCCUGGAAGGGGCUAGAAAAAGAUGUAGAUGACACACUGGAAAAUGAGAAUCGGACUUUUGUUCUUGUCAGUUGGCUUUUUUCUUCUUUUUAAAUAAUUGUGCUGUUGGAAACAUGGAACAAAAUCUACAUGGGAAAAGCCUGACUUUUCUCUGCCCAUAUUUCCUCACAAUGGAGCAAUUUGGAGGCUACAUGAGAUGCACGACUGAUUUUGAGUGAGGGAGAACUGGGGCCGAAAGAGGUAUGUGGAAAGCUGGACCUGCUGUUGAUGUGUCACCAGCAGUUUGUAUCACAGCAACACCGAGCUGGCUCAGGGCUCUGGCCUUUUGUGCCCCAUUGGACACAGACUCCCACCAGAAAGAGAAAUGAAAUCUUUAAAGCUACUAUUGGUGACCAACUAUUUGAUGCCUGGUGGAAACAAAAAUUGCCAUAUGUUACUAAAAUAUUCUCUUCUUUCUCUAGCUUUCUGGCUUUGGGCAUUUUACAGCUGUCUUUAUGCCAGCAGGAGACUGUAGCUAGCUGAAAAAAAAGGCAGAGGGCAGGAAAAUCCUUGCAUAUGAAGAAAUAAACUCUACUGUCUCAUACAUCCAAAGAAUCUUGAACUGAAAGCUCUUUGAAACAGUUUCCUUUUCUUAGGAAAAAAACAAACAAAAAAAAAAAACAAAUAUUCAAAUUGAUUAUGGUCUCUGAAAUUAUAAAGUGGGCUGCUUUUUUUUCCCUCCUCCUACGUGCUCUUUUCAGGCACCGUUAUGCUGAAGGAAGCAUGGUGCCAGAGGCUGCAUGGUGCCAGAGGCUGCAUGGUCCACUGCGACUGUAGGGGCUUUGGGCCCAAUGGGUUCCCAUCUGUUCAACAGCACGUGGCUCCUGCUUGCUCUGUCUCUUUGGAGCUGAAGGAUCACAGGUAAUACCAGAGAGACCCUAAAGCCCAGCAAAGUGCUCUAUUGGGAUGCCAUUCGGCUACAUGGAAUGCCCCUGGCACCAGAACAUAACCACAGGCUAAUUACUUCUGAUAUUUCCCCCUUGUAUUUCACCUGUUUCUUGUGAAACAUGGGGGAGCUGUGGAUGGCUACAUGACAGAGGAAAACAACAGACUCCCUUUUUGUCUUUCUAAGAACACUGCGUUUGUUCCCCUGUGCAUUAACGUACAAAGAAGAUGGUGCGUGGCUCAGUCUCGGACUUUCACAGCUGCCAGGUAACUGAGUACUAGGUAACAAGAGUUGGGAUGAAACUGAUGUGUCAUAACUCAAGCCCAGAGACUUAACCGUGCAAAUGAAAUGAUGUGCAGAACUGCUGGGCCUAGAAACCCAAUGCUGAUCUGAAUAAAUAAACACAGUAAAAUGUGAUCAGCUGUAAGCAGCAAUUACGCACCAAAGGAGCAGUUGCAUCUUCCAUAACUGGCAACAGAAAAGAUGGACAAGACACUGAGUCAACCUAUGAACAGAUGGAUGUGUUCUCUUAUAGCACGUUGUAUCCGUGUUAUUGCAGGAAAAGAUAGCUGUGUCAGGUCUUCACGCCCAUCUCCCACUGGAGGCAAAACUGCGGCUGAAGGAAAAGUUGAUCUCGCCAUUUUUAUACUUCCCCCACGCUCCAAAUGGCACUAUGACAACCGUGCUGUUAUCCUCAGUGCCAUACUGCAUUGCCUGAAGGAAGAAACAAUUUGUCAGCGUCACAGUCUUGCUCAGAAAGAGAAAUAGCUCUCUGACUCCACAUGGGACAGCAUGCUCUGAGACUUCAUUGCUUCUUCCCAGCUCCAACACUGCAGGCUCUUGCACACCUCAGAGCUUUCCAUGGAUAUACCACUAUCCAAAACCUCCAAUAUGAAACUGGUGGUUUCUGUCUACGCUGAUUACAGCAGGUCUGCGGACCAAGAACUAAGCACAUUAAUUGAAAUGAUGUCCCUGUGUCCUUGCAAGGAUCUGGCACUUUGAUGCUUCAAGUAACCCUAGCAUUACCUGCUCAGUAACAACGUGGGCAGCUUCAGUGGGAUCGUGGCACUGGUUGAUGAAGUCGCAGAUCUCUUGACUGUUCACCAUGAAGUUAAUACCAUCUGUAGUAAGGACUAGGAAGCCGUCAUCUGCAUGGUGCAACUGCAAUAAAGGCAACGAAGCCACCGCACUUCCUAAUCCUGUCCGGAGGCACAAGAGAGAAAGCGAAGAUGAGUUACAGAUUCAGACCAUUCCCCCUGUCUGUAGCUGCAGUUUCUACCACUAUCUGCUGAUGUGAGAUGGAGUACCAUGGACCUGAGCUGAGAGGCUAUGUUUGAAGGGUUCCACAGAAGGGAUAGAAUUUAGAGGGCUGAGUGCUGCCCUGGGAACUACAGCACAUUUCUUCACAUCUUGGAUAUCUCUUGGAACUCUUGGAUGAGUCUUUGAACCAUGUGGUUACAGCUCAAUACCCAGUCCUAGCUCUGCUGGUUUUACUGCAAUGACGGUUUAUGUUCAUGUAGGACUUUAUAAAUCCCCAGUUCUUGAAAUGAAAAUAAAUGACUUAACUGGGGUUCUGCCACUUUUUCUAGCUUGGACUGUUAUGUUCAGCUCUAGCCUUUUUCCCAGGACCAACCUGGCAGCAGGAUAGCCUGACAGAGGCUGUUCCCCAGAAAGCCACAAUACGAGCCAACAGGUACCUUUCCUUCUCCUCCUUCCUUUCUGGUGUAUGGUCAAUGGUGAGUUUCAUGGCCUUUCCUUUUCGACACAGCAGGGCACGGCUGUCACCCACGCUUGCCACUACCAGCUCAAUACCAUCCCGCAGCAGGGCCACCGUUGCAGUGGUCCCAGAGUUCAUCAGAGUUGCUACAAAUGUCAUAUCAGAGAGAGAGGUUUUAACACUGCCUCAAAGCACAGGACCAUUUAUAACAGAACAACAGUGUCGACUGGUUAAGACAAAGACAACUUGUGCUCUACAUUACUAGUAUUAUUACUGCUGCGGUGACUUGGUUAACUGACUUAACUAACAAGUCCACAGUGAAUGUUCACCAUGGUGACACAGGAUGCACCUUGGUCUAUGUUACAGCUGUGAUACAGACUACAAGAUUCAAAACCACGUAGAUGCCAGUAGUCUGUUGAGCAUUCAGGUUCUUAACACUCACUGGACACUUCUUACUGCAAGUCAUCUCAACUAAUGUGACAAAGAGGAUGUGGGAACCUUCCAGUAGUCCAGGCUAGGAACCGCCGGACUCCUUCACCUGGGACAAAAUUAAGCAGAUCUCUCUUUCCACUGAAGCCCAGCAUAUAGUGUCCAGGGCCUCCAGUUCUAGAGCUGCUGACCAGGCUUGCUCCCCAGGCAGGGAACAUACAGAGAAGUACAUCACGCCACAUCUGUUGUAAUGGGAAUUAUUCCUUUGCUGUGUUCCUGCUGACCCUGUUGGAAUAGACGGCUAUACAACCUGGGACGAUUAGCAGCAACAUAUGAAGUCUGCUGCCGCCGCCCCGCCAUGUCCAUCGUAUACUGCAAAGUACAGGACAUCCUCAGUCAGCUGAGCGUAAUCAAAGCGGUCUUCAUUUUCCUUCCGCUUCCCAAUAUGACUGGCACAGCCCACUUUGCUCAGGCUGACUUUUGGAAUCGGCUUUCCAUACUUUAUGCUAGGUGGGAGGAGAAUAGGUUCAUCAAUGCGAUUGUCCCAGAUGCCAAAGGUGUCCCACGUGGCGGGCCGCCCGCUCCCGUCCGGAUCAAAGCGGGAUGCCCGGCGUUCGGAGGUGGAAAUGUAGCACUCGACUGUCAGACGCUUGUCGUCUUGCAAGAGGCGGGAUGUCAGCAGGGCUCUCCUUCGUACUUGAGAACCUCCGUUUCUUACCAAAUGGAUUAAAGCAGCUGUUGACAUAACUUGUCUUCGCAGAGAUUUGUAGGGAUAAAAGAGAUGCAGCAGCUGGAAUGUCUUCAAGAACAAAGAGAAAACUGAUCAAGAAUCAGCACAGGAAGGGGGACUAUCAGUUACAUCAUUCAGGAAACAAUUUCACAGUGGGAGCCCGCUAAUCGUGCAUAGCACAGCACUGCCUAGAAGAGGCUACAGAGCCUCUGCAUGACUCAUCGAGAAACAAUCCUGCACAGACCAGCCCACAGUUACAGUUCUGAUGAGGAGUGCUGCAGAUAAAUUGAGGCAAGGCAGCUCCACUGGCCACCUCCAUCGUGAUACCCCUAUUUUCAGAGGUUGCAAUGGAGCUAAUGAGAGUAAUAAUGACUUUGUUCUAUCUCAUCAAAACUAAGAAAAUGUUGAAAUAUGAGCAUUUACAGACGAACAGUCCACUCAGUCAAUGCCAAACACGCUGGGAAUCAAUAUUGUUGCACUGGAUGAAUUUGGCCUAGACACCAUGUGAAUGAACUGGCACGUUUCCACUAUGAGUGAUUUUCCAUUUUACUCCUGGACGUCUGCAACAUCUCACCCUUAUUACACUAUACUCGCAGGUAGUUAAUAGCUGAUUUUCUUCCUUGAGAUUUUUUUUUUGUUUGUUUCCUGUUGCCCUUGACUCGCAGCAACAGCACGUUCAUUUCCUCCUGCCAAGCACAGCUCAACAAAACUGAAAGCCUGCCAAUUCGCAAAACCUGCACUUCUGUCAGCUCGAGAGAUGAGGAAGAAACACCAGCUAUAUUUAGAGCUCCCAGAAUCCGUAGUGUGAAUCAGAAGAUACAUCCAGAGCUAAUUAACAGAUAAACAGAAAUUCUUGGCUCGGCAAGUCAAACUCGUAUUCGCUAGAUACUCUGUCCAUGGCCAGGGAUUCGAAGUGUUUCAGCACCAUCGGGCAGAUACAACUUCUAAAGAGAGGAAUGCUUCAGGAUAUGCCUGUUGUCAUUAGGGGAAAAAAGUGUCUUCCAGCAGAAGGCCCCUGGGAACUGAAAAAAAGAUGACGUGUGCUUUGCAUGGUGUGACAGCAGGAGCGGGGCGUUUGGCUGCAAAGAGAGGAGCAUAUGGCAGAAGAAGCGAAGAACAAACCCAUCCCAGCAACAGCACCAGCCAUUGGAAAGGAAACUUUGCUGUGAAAAUCAGAAGGAACACAUGGAACAGCAGGGUGCAGGGCAGGAAGUGGAAAGGCAAUUUUGCCUUUUCUGCGGUACUGUGGUCGUUGGCAACUGGAGAUGUACCCAAUCACUGAGCAGUAAGUGAAGGACCUUCCUUUUAUCAUGGAAGACGUUGUUAAAGCAUCAUCAGUUCUCAUUUUCAAAGACUAGCUGUCUACAUGGUGUGGAAUGAAGGAAUAUGUUAAAACUAUGAGCAACUGCAAAUAAAACUACCACACAGUCACUAACUGAGUGAAAGGCCGGUACCUGCUAUGGCAAAUAUGGACACAUCUGUGGCAUAAAAGAUCUGAUUUUUAUUUGAUUCCUCCAAGUCAAAAUACCAUUUCAUAUGAGAUUUCAUUUUUCAUUCUGUCUGGAUACAAUGCAAGAGGGCCAGAGAAAGAACAGCAGUCUACAAUCAAUUCUUUCUUGUUAGAGCAUUUCAAAGGCAGAAUUCGAUGAGCUGUACCUAGUGGGAGUAUUGUAACAAACUGUGUGCACAACCACUGCACUUGAGCAUUGGGUAAAUGGUUUCCUGAUUUAUAGUUUCACUUUUCUUCUUAGUCAUACAUUAUCAGUCUGAAAGAAGGUACGACAAAAGAUGUUUGAUUGCUCUCCAAUUAAUUAAUGUGCAUCCUUCAGUAAACGUUUAGUUAAUCUGCCUGCUUGAAGGCAGAAGGAGGGAGAUAGAAUAUUUCUGUUAAUGCUUGCUGGUCUGUGCCUGCUAUCCUGCAAAGAAUAAGAUCUUGUGGUAAAACAUUUUUGAGCUACUGAAUUAAUAUCUAACGGACAGAUUAUGACAGCACUUCUCUGUUUGAAUAAACAGCUAGAACACUUCAAUUUUUUUUUUUUUCCAGGGGCAGACCAAUUUUCAGCAUAUCCCAUUGAUUUAAUCAGUUCACUAGACUAUAUCAAAGGACAUAACCAGGCAGGUCAGGAGAUAGCUUGAAACUUAACUAUGCUCUUCUUUAUUUAAUUCACUUCUAUCACCUCCCCCAAGUUUCAGACUCUUCUUUCCUGCAGCUUACAUGAAUGCAAAAAAGCAGGAGAAAACACAGGACAAGACUGUUCCUCAGCCUAUGUGAGGUAUUGCUCCACUUCUCUUUUCUUCUAGUGCUUUGUUCUGUUAUUUCUGAUGUAACAGGUUUUGAAGCCUUGGAUAUUCAUAUCCUUAUCACAGCAAAAGACAAGAUCACAGCAAAAGAUAAGUAUGCUUGGGUCAAAGCACAAAGGCGCAAGGCAAAGCUGUAAGCAAACUAAAGCAGCAACUUAAGUGCUUGUAAAUUACCUGCAGUGUGCUGUGCUUCAUUAAUUUUUGCUCUUUACAUGCCUCUUCUCAUGUCUGGCUUUGAAGCACUGGUGGAAAGUCACAGUGCUGUAAUGAAUAGGACACAGUGCUCUACUUCAUGCACUGCGUGUGUGUCUUUCACAGGAGGGAGAAUUUUGCAAUCCCAUCACUGCGAUCACUGCAAUGAAGAAACAUAACUAUGUUGGAAUCUUGUGAAACGAGUAACAACACUGACAAGAAAAAAAAGAAGCUGAUUUUUUUUUUUUUCUAGUACUUAAAAUUUUUGGCAGACUAAAAUCUCAUUUUCUUUUGGUUUCUAAAACAACGCUGAUGUUCUUCUGUCUUUUCCCUCUAUUCAGGAUAGCACCUUCCAGUGGAACCACACCAGCCACCAAAGAACCUUAGCAAGAACCUCAUAUUAACACAGUGCAUAUAUAGCGUGCUUAAUUCUACUAUGAAUAGCAAUUCUGAGAAUAGGUGGGCACUAAAACAUCAUUGUUUCAUCAGUUCUUGUUUAGGCCUGAAUGUGGCAUAAAUAUGUCUGCUUCUGGAUAGAGAUAUAGUAAAGAAGUUAUGAACAAAUUACACCUGUAGACAGAAAAAUUCAAGUACAUAUCCCUAAGGACAAAGCCAUAGAGGCCCAGGUCUCUGUGUUACAGGAAUCACCUUCUGAAUUUGAAAUAGCUGAGGAAGUAGAAGACAUGGUAAUGCUAUUGUUAUGAGCUGGAGGAACCUCAGGAUGAUCAAGGUGGACCAAAUGUGUGAUUGUACAACUGUAGCUGAACUCCAGACCAGUCAAGAAAAAACACUCAAACUGUUUGUGCAUGAAAGGCUGCAUAGUGCCCUGGGAGUUCUGGCACGGAGACAGAUUAUUGAGAGCACUGGAACUACUAAAAAGAAAAAAGUCAACACAUGGAAUGAUUCAAAAUUUACAUUUGAAGUAGUGCAUGCCCGUAGAGUAAUACAGAAGGAAAGAGGAUUGCUAUCCUACCAGGGAUCACAAAUAAAGUAUGGACCCAUUAUUAUAGAAUUACUGGAAAGUGUACUGCCUCCUUAGAAAGUUGCCAUAAUGCAUUGUAAAGCACAUCAGUUCAAUAACACUCCAGUGAAUUACAGCAAUUGACUUGCCAAUAGAGCUGCUGAAGUAGCCAUGGAAGGAACUCUUAUUAUUUAUCGCGGACAAAUAUAAAUAAUUAGGAAAAGAAACCCCAGAUUACCAAGCUAAAGAUGAGAGACUGGCAACAUUAUGAAAAGUGGUUAAAGACGGCAAAGUGUGGUAGAUAACUCCAGAUAAAUAGACAAUUAUCCCUCAAUCUCUUAUGAAUAAACUGGCAGAAGAUUAUCACUGACACACUGGGGAAUAGAGGCAACCACCAGAAGUAUGAGACACCAAGUUUUAAGUGUGUGAAUGGCAGGAAUCAUAGUGUUGUGAAAAGAUGCGAUCUGCGUUUGAAAAACAAUCCCCAUCCACCUAAACAACCUCCACUCAGAACAGCUAAGAAAGGAAAGCAUCCAGGAGAUUAUCAGCAGAUGGAUUAUUGUGGAUUACUGCGGUGAUGUACGUUGUACGUGCACGCUUACCGUUGGAUGGACCUGUACACUGGUACCAACCUGGAGAUUGGGUGUACCCGACAACAUAGCUAGAUGAAGAGAAGUGGAGAGGACCCUUCCAGAUCUAAUUCACCACCCACGCAGCAGUCAGACUCAAUGGAGUCAGCCUAUGUAUUCAUUACAGUAGAGUCAAGCCACCUGCAACAUCAGGAUAGACUGUCAAGAAAGAAGGACCAUUGCAUUUGCAAUUAACUCAGGCUGUGUAAGACUAGGUUCUAUGUUUCUUAUAAUGAUAAGUAAUGCAUUUAUUUAAAGUGAGGGAAUUAAUAUGAAAGUGAAAAUCUGGUUUUAACAUUAAUACAAGGGUUUGGUGGGAUGUGCAAUGUCACUAGCAUCUGCAUAGUGGUAAUUAUAAGAGGUAGAGGACUCUGUAGAAGAUGUAUUAAAAGGUAUUUUGAAAGAAAUAUGUGAAAGUAAUUAGAAGAACUAACUACUUCCCAAGGGGUCAAUUGAUACCUGGCAAUUAAUUAACCACAGGCCCCUUACAAGGACCCCAUACUAACACAGAGCAUGCAUAAUAUUAGAUUUUAAUAUAGCAAUUCUUGAAAUAGGCAGGCACUCCAUGGAAAAUGUAUGAAUAUUCACACAUGUUCAGUAUAUAUAAUCUGCAUGCUUUUAGCUCCUGGCUAUGCACGUUAGGUGGAUCCCGUGCAUCUGGUCAUAGUAACAAAUGCCUGCUUUUUAAUGCUACAUUAGCAUUAAUGAGUUUUAUUCCUGAUUUCAGUGACAGAACUGGUGUUAUUAAUUGCCUUCCCCUUCCCCCUUCCCUCCCCCCCCCAAACAAGUAUGAGGGCAAGACAUUACAUGGAUAUAUAAGGCAUCUUUAGAUAUGCACUGAGACAACUCAGACACUAGGCAAAACUAUCAUCUCUGGAUACUGUCUGUGUCUCCCAUUUUAUUUAAGUAUCUUUCAGCUGCUGCCAUGAACGCAGGAUCUCUGUUUUCAGCUGGCAGGAGCUGACACAGCAGAAAUAGCUGUCAAAUAUGAUAGAGUUUCUCCCUUCUAAUGCUCCUUCUUGCACCAUUCUUAGAACAGUUUAGAGUACCAAUAGAAGAAAUGAAGACAAACAGGCAUCAAAGAUACUGGGCAAGGUCAGUCAGCACCGAGAAGAGCCAUCCAUCCUUCUAUAUCUGAUGCAAAGUGCCACAUCUUAGCUCUGUGUUCUUUUUCAAAAACUACUGGAAUUUGAAGAGGUUUUAAAACACCAGUACAUUAUUUGAAUAAUUGUGCUUAUAUCCAGGGUAGGGUUCAAGGCAUGUAUGCCACCCAAAACAACUGGUCUGUCCCAGAGAAAGAGAAAUAGUACACUUCUGAAACAGGGAAGAAAAGUCUGACUUCCACUAACUUCAGUCUUCUUUUGCAAGUGGAACUUCCCACUGAGAAUCUAAACAUGCAUCAGAUGUCUAGAAACAGUAAAUCAUUUAAGGUUUUAACCGGGAAAAUAGUUCAGCAACCCUUAGGAACUAUUACAUUUUCACAUUAUUGCCAUUAAAAAAUCCACAUCUUCUCAGUGUUUGUAUAAGCAAAGUGGUUUGCCUCAGGUGAAUGCAGCUCCGCUGAAGAAUGUGGUACCCACUCUGUGCUGGUGCUCUCUGUUCCAAGGCAUGCAACUCUGCCAAUACUGCAGAAAUUUGAGAAUGCUUUUCUCUGAGGCAGUAGUGUUUAAAAUUUCACCCCAUCCAUUAGAUUGCUCCAGAAUUAGCCUUGUAAGUACAUCCGAGUUCUAUGGCAUAGUGUUGCAGUAAAAGCCAGUCUCUGAGAUGAGGGACUCUGACAGUUUAUUUAUAGUUCAGAAGGUCAAACAGUUGCCUUAAUUGGAAAACAUCGCUCACCAGUCUCUGAGCAUAUUGAUGUACUUUGCAUUCGAUGCCAUUAGUUACUUGUGUGAGUUUCUAAUAUCACCUUUGUUAAUAAGAUACAUUCUCCAUAAUGGGCUGCCUGCAGGUUCCAAGAGCCAUUUAUAUGCUAAGUUUGACAAGUUUGAUGAUGCUAAACCCAUGCUGAAAGCAAUAGCUGUCAGAACUGUACCUGGGUGCGAGGCAGAAGUCUGUGACCUUCAAACUGUUUUGGGAUGGGAUGUGCUAAAUCCCAGUUGUAUGGUAUGUGACCAGGCAAAGGUAUUUCUUCAAAUUUGUCUUGAAUUCCUGCCAGAAAAGUUGUAUAUAAACCACACAGCAAAAGUUUGAUGGACUUGGCUUGUAUAGAAGGAAGGUGAAAUAAAGUCCCAGAAUCACAGAAUUGCAGGGGUUGGAAGGGACCUCAAGAGAUCAUUGAAUGCAGCCCCCUGCCAAAGCAGGUGCCCUGCAACAGGUCACACAGGUUGGUGUCCUUACAAGUCUUGAAUAUCUCCAGAGAAGGAGAAGUCAAAGUGCUCCCAACAAGCGCAAAUUAAAGCAUACAAUAGCAAACACACUGAGUGAUUUGACCUAAGGAUCUCUCAUCCAUACAGCUGCAGACUAGAAAAAAAGAAAUCCUCUCCUCAAAGCAAAGGAAACUAUCUUAUUAAGUCUAAAAAUUCCCUCUUGGUUUUACUUCUGCUGUUCCCAACCUCUCCCUUGCCUACAGUUGUUGCUGAAAAUGACCUUGUCAAAUUUUACAUGUAGCAUGGCCCAGUAGACACAUGAUCUUAACCAUAGGAAGAAGGCAGAAUGUUAAUAUUCAUUGUUUGAAUUUAUGUAGGAAAGGAGCAAGAAAUAGGAUUAAGAUGGAGGUGGCUAAUGCUAGGACUCCUCCAAGUUUGUCUGGAAUUGAGCUCAGGAUGACAUACACAAAUAGGAAUCACCCCUCUGGUUUGAUGUGAGGGGGUGGGAUUAGUGAGGUUGCUGAAGUUUUAUGGGUCCCUUAAGAGUUUAGGGGAGAAUAAGGCUAAUAUUAGGGAGGGAUUUAUAAAGGCAUGGGUUGAGACGUGAAGGAAAGCUAGCCGUGAGAGAUCAAGUCCAAUGAAGGCUAUUACUAAGCUUAGCUGGCGGAAGGUGGAGAAAGGAAUGAUUUUUUUUUAUGUUGUUUUGAGUGAGGGCACCUGCUGGCAGAGGGCUGAGAGUGCACCUAAACACGGGCAUAUGGCUAGGGCUGUUUUGUUAGUGGUUGGAAGGGGAUGAGUAUGAAUAAGCAAGAAGAUUCUGGUUACUACUAUUGCAGUAGAAUGGAAACUAGGAUUUACACUUCUGUUGCUGCAAGGAGUCAAGGGUCAGCCAAAUUGGGCUGACCUUCCUGUAGCAGCUAGAAUUAAGCCCAGGAGGGGGAGAGUACGUGUUUGGUGGGGUAGAUUGUUUGUUGAGUUUCUCAAGCAUUUAGUGUGGAGACUAGUGAUGCCAUACUCAAGAUUAAACCAAUAUCUCACAUGAAUCUAACUCCUCCCUACCAUUUUGCCUAUCCAAAACAAAUUAUGAAUGAAUACAUGGCCAUAUCCUCAUCCUUACAUGAGGCCUACAACCCCUCCAAGACUCAAAGCCACAUGGUGACUACUUGCCAUUUGACAAACACGGUACUGCCCUCUACAACAAACCUAAAAGAGGAACUAACCAUUGUAAUUGUGCUGUUUCACUGAUUUGCCUUCACAAUUGUUCUAACUGGAAUUUCAGCCCUGCUGAGUGCCACUUAUGCUUUAUAUAUAUUACUAGUAACCCAAUGAAGCACCCAACCAGCCCACAUCACAUCCAUCCAAAACUCUUUCAUUUAUCAUAAGCUUCAUAAAUCCCCCUAACCUUAAAAAUAGACCUACACUCAGUACUUUUUUUUCCAAUUCCGUAAUUUGUAACUUGAUCUAUCCUGGAAUUUGUAACAUGAUGCAUAGCCUCAGAACCAAAUAUCAAAUUCUUCACCUGUCUUCCUUACUUCCUAAUUGCCAUACUAAUGCUAACCAUUGCAAACAGCAUAUACCUUCUUUUGUAAGCUGAGAGAAAUUAUGUCAUUCCUAUUUAUUGGCUAAUGACAACAACAAGCCAAAGCUAACACAGCAGCAUUACAAGUUGUAAUCUACUACCAGAUUGGAGAUAUAUAAGGCAAUGUAGUGUAACACAAAAUAAAGAUAAGCAUGUGAUUUUUUAACAUUUGAAUUCAGUACUGUGCAGUACGAAAGUAUAAAGGAUCUAAGUAGAGUAAAUCAAUUUAAGAAGGUAAGCGGUUUUAGUUAGUUUAAAACGGCAGGCUGCAGUAUUUAUUUGAUAAAAAGUUAUUUGAAGUAUUUGACAGAAAGUCAUAGAAAUAAAAAAGCUAGGCAUAACUGUUUUUAAAACAGCGUAACUAUAUAUAAUGGGAAGAAGGGAGACUGAGAUCGUACUGUUAACGUUUUCAUGAAAAAACAAAAUGCCAAAAUUAAACAAGCAAACUCUAGUGGAGGAAAUAGAAACCCUAUUUUCUGAAGACUGUGCAGUGAGACAUAAUGGUUGUAUAACUUCUAAAAGUUAUAAUUUAGUGAUGCAGGCUCAGAAUAAGAGAAUUCAAUAGCAAAAUGAGUCAACACUUAAACCUAAAUUGUAAUUUAUAAGAGACUCUCUUCUCACACAAAUCAAAUUUGGAAGCAGAAUAAUGUCUUCUGAUAGCGAGGCAGUAUUGCUGAAUGUGCUGGGUGGCAGUUUGCAAUACACAGUCAUUUGAAAUUACAUUUAUAAAAUAAAUGUUCAAUUCAGAACAA
Lagopus leucura (white-tailed ptarmigan) is the source of this 15804-nucleotide long non-coding RNA. RefSeq lists it as uncharacterized. The transcript is spliced from 14 exons. NCBI's taxonomy places the organism in Eukaryota, Metazoa, Chordata, Aves, Galliformes, Phasianidae. The record is from RefSeq and is a predicted model, not a curated record.